This 202-nucleotide unclassified non-coding RNA is filed under the name Hevea brasiliensis (rubber tree). The record is from RNAcentral. Lineage: Eukaryota; Viridiplantae; Streptophyta; Magnoliopsida; Malpighiales; Euphorbiaceae.
CAAAGUGGACAAGACUUAUUACAAACAGAUUGUCGGUAGUCUUAUGUACCUCACAGCGACUCGACCCGAUAUGAUGUUUGUAGUUAGUCUAAUUAGCAGGUUCAUGGAGAAUCCUACACAGCUCCAUUUACAAGCUGCAAAGAGGGUGCUGAGAUAUUUGAAGGGGACAACUGAUUUUGGGAUUUUUUAUAGAAAGGGAGGA